This 769-nucleotide long non-coding RNA is filed under the name Fragaria vesca (wild strawberry). Its description in RNAcentral is "long non-coding RNA (FVES_LNC005149)". The record is from RNAcentral. Lineage: Eukaryota; Viridiplantae; Streptophyta; Magnoliopsida; Rosales; Rosaceae.
AUAUCAGUAGCUUAUCCAUUGUAUGAUAGUAUCUUUUAACCAUAGUGAUAGUAGCAUUCUAACUCUAUGCUAGUAUCUUUUCAACAUGAUGUCAAAAGCUACUAUUUCUAUUUUAAUACUAAUAUUUUGUUGCAUCUUUGUUUUUACAGAAUUCUUCCCUUUGCAUAGUUGUAAUAGAUUACGAAAAUCAUGUGAGUUUGGAAAUCAAAGCUUCCAUAGAGAUCAUUGGGCCAACCAAGAAAAUCGUGCUCAAAGUGGAAAAAGUAUGUCACGCCCCAAUUUUCGAAGGAUAAAUUUCAAAAAUUUGGGCAUGAUAUAACUCACAAAUAAGACUACAUGACCUGCUCAACAAAUCCCUACUAAACUUAAAUGCUGGAAAUGUAAAUGUCAACAAAACUCAUCGACUGAGUUAAACAUUACAUCUCUUUAUUUACAACUUCAAAAGUCUAGUAAAAAGAAGAUGCUCACACGAGCUUAAAAAUAACUUACAUAAUAUACAAAUAAAAUGUACAUCAUCUAAACCCCAGCCACUAUGCCUCUGCCUCAACCCUGUUGAUCAACACCUGCAAGUCUAACCCCUACACCAUGAAUUGGUGCACCGGGUUGUAAACAACAAACCCGGUAAGCUAAAAAGCUCGUAUGAGUAAUUCUCAAAAUUUACUCAACAUCUCUAACACCACAUAAGAUAAAACCGGCAAUUCCUGCUUUAGAACUUAGUUCAGGAAUCACUUCAAAACAAUAAAAUCAUAAGUGAAUCCUGCAAAAGGAU